This is a long non-coding RNA of Mastomys coucha (southern multimammate mouse), 215 nucleotides long. RefSeq lists it as uncharacterized. The transcript has 2 exons. NCBI's taxonomy places the organism in Eukaryota, Metazoa, Chordata, Mammalia, Rodentia, Muridae. The record is from RefSeq and is a predicted model, not a curated record.
GACAGUUUGGAUGUAGCCAGAAUUCCUAUCAUGGGAGGCAUAUACUGCCUGGGAUCCCCACUCCUAGCAAGGUUGGCAGCUAUGCUAGGCAUGACUAGCACUCUUAUAGAAAAGAAAACUGGAACACAGAGAAGCUGAGAAACCUGCCCAAGGUCACAGAGCCAGGACUUAAAUGGAAUAUUGCAGCUGCUUUGAAAUAAAUCCCAUGUACUGUG